Molecule: regulatory RNA element, 64 nt
Organism: Cavia porcellus (domestic guinea pig)
Lineage: Eukaryota; Metazoa; Chordata; Mammalia; Rodentia; Caviidae
Rfam family: Selenocysteine insertion sequence 1
About the family: The incorporation of selenocysteine into a protein sequence is directed by an in-frame UGA codon (usually a stop codon) within the coding region of the mRNA. Selenoprotein mRNAs contain a conserved secondary structure in the 3' UTR that is required for the distinction of UGA stop from UGA selenocysteine. The selenocysteine insertion sequence (SECIS) is around 60 nt in length and adopts a hairpin structure which is sufficiently well-defined and conserved to act as a computational screen for selenoprotein genes.
Source: Rfam
GCCAGUUGAUGAUGGCCUGGGCAGAAACCCACCCUGUGGGCAGUCCAUGUCUGAACUCCCUGGC